Molecule: ribosomal RNA, 471 nt
Filed under: Streptomyces noursei
Lineage: Bacteria; Bacillati; Actinomycetota; Actinomycetes; Kitasatosporales; Streptomycetaceae
Description: bacterial SSU rRNA
Rfam family: Bacterial small subunit ribosomal RNA
Source: RNAcentral
AUGGUCUGCGUCUGGAAGAAUUUCGGUUGGGGAUGGGCUCGCGGCCUAUCAGCUUGUUGGUGAGGUAAUGGCUCACCAAGGCGUCGACGGGUAGCCGGCCUGAGAGGGUGACCGGCCACACUGGGACUGAGACACGGCCCAGACUCCUACGGGAGGCAGCAGUGGGGAAUAUUGCACAAUGGGCGCAAGCCUGAUGCAGCAACGCCGCGUGAGGGACGACGGCCUUCGGGUUGUAAACCUCUUUUAGCAGGGAAGAAGCGAAAGUGACGGUACCUGCAGAAAAAGCGCCGGCUAACUACGUGCCAGCAGCCGCGGUAAUACGUAGGGCGCAAGCGUUAUCCGGAAUUAUUGGGCGUAAAGAGCUCGUAGGCGGUUUGUCGCGUCUGCUGUGAAAUCCGGAGGCUCAACCUCCGGCCUGCAGUGGGUACGGGCAGACUAGAGUGCGGUAGGGGAGAUCGGAAUUCCUGGUGA